UUUUAUUGUAAAUUUUUACCUAAUAAUUAUUAGUUAAGGUCUUUAAAGUUAAAUAUUUUGGCGGUAUUUUAGUCUUUUCAGAGGAACUUGUUCUUUAAUUGAUAAUCCACAUUUAAAAUUACUUUUAUUAGAAAUUUAUAUAUCGUUGUUAAAAUUAUUUUUAAUGAAUUAAAUAAUUAGUUUAUUUUAAAAUAAAAGUUCAGAUCAAGGUGUAGUUUAUAUAAAAGUAGAAAUGAGUUACAUUAAUAAAAUCGGAUUUAGAAUUUAAAAUUUUAAUAAAGAUGGAUUUGUGAGUAAUAUUUUUUAUAUUUUAAAUAUGAUGAGGCUCUAAAAUAUGC
RNAcentral lists this ribosomal RNA (338 nucleotides) under Rodolia sp. CO723. RNAcentral's name for it is "partial 12S ribosomal RNA". Lineage: Eukaryota; Metazoa; Arthropoda; Insecta; Coleoptera; Coccinellidae. The record is from RNAcentral.